Long non-coding RNA from Drosophila sechellia, 1379 nucleotides. RefSeq lists it as uncharacterized. The record is from RefSeq and is a predicted model, not a curated record. The transcript is spliced from 3 exons. NCBI's taxonomy places the organism in Eukaryota, Metazoa, Arthropoda, Insecta, Diptera, Drosophilidae.
AAAGCGGGUGAAAAGAAGAAGAAAAAGAGGCGGAAAAACAGGCAACGCAACCGAAACUGCAACUGAAAUGCUGCGCAAACAACUUUGAACGUCAAUUUGUCAACUCGCAGCGGAGAAUUGAAUGCAAAAUCUUUGCGCCACAUCGCUGACGUCGCGUCGUUUCAUUUCGUUUCGUUUGCCUGCCUGACGCAGUCCGGGCCAAUUUGGGAUGGGGUCUAAUGUGCCGCAGUCACGCUGCAGGCCAGGUUAUUUUCGCCGACUUUAAUGGCGAUUAAUCACACUACUUUGGCCUGGACGCACUUGCAUUGCCACAAAGGCCACUAAGGAAAUGCAAACACUUUGGGAUUAAUGACGUAAGCGAAGUGGCAGUGUUUAUUAACUUCUUGUGCUGCAGGGUAUGCAGCGGUCCGUAGAACCGGUUUUUUGUCGAGGUAGGUGCAUGGUAAUGUCAGCUUAAUACCGUUAUCGUAGGUGCGGCAAACACGUCGCUGCGGCUGCGACUGCGCCGUCAACUGCGGCAGCGCCUCAGCUUGAUAAUGAGCCGUUAGGACGGACAGCAAAAGGAGAAGAAGACGCAUAAGCUUCCGCAAUGCAAAGCAGCUGAGCAAGAACGAGAGGGAGCGAUUGUGCAAGGCGAAAUGCAAAACUGAUAAGAAAAGUCCGUUUAAGUCGCUCCAAAUAUGUUACACGCCAUUCAGAGGAGAAAGAGAAGACAUAUAUGUAUGCAUGUGUGUGUAAGCGCAGCAGAAGGAGAGAGGGAGUGCAGGCGAAUGCAAAAUCAAAGUGCUGCCUACGUGAGCGACACCUUGCGAUUAACAGACAAAAAAAGGUACCCGAUUAAGAUCGAAACAACUAAUACCCUAUCGGCAAACAAUUUUAAAAAGAUUGAGUAUAUUCAUUAUUCAUUUCCAUAUGUAAAUAAACAUUGGUUUUAAAGUAUUCUCCAAAAAUAUACGAAAAUUCUAUUCUAGCUCUCAUAUUAAGUUUAUUAUAAAAAAUUCGUGCAAGUACCAUUUUAAAAUAGACCUUUUUAGCUGGCUAAAGAGGCUAUACCUCUUGUGGAAGGGUACAAUGAAACAGAAUAGCUGAAAGACAAGCCCGAAAACGUCCAAACUCUCCGUGAAGUGCAAUUCCUUUUUCGAUUCUUUUUCUGUUAUUUUGCUGACUCGCUAAAUUUGUUACCGUGCUUUCGAGCUUUCUGCUGUUGUUAUUAUUUUUGCUGUGUCCAGCAGCAGCAAUAAUAAGAACAACAACAGCAAAAACGACAGUGGCAACGAUAACAACUUCUCAACCGUGCUGAUGAGCGAAGUGCGAGAGAGAGAGGGCGACUGAGAGGACAGGCAGCAACAAUAUUUACAGCUUUAGCGGCCAAUAGCACA